Salmonella enterica subsp. enterica serovar Enteritidis is the source of this 279-nucleotide non-coding RNA. NCBI's taxonomy places the organism in Bacteria, Pseudomonadati, Pseudomonadota, Gammaproteobacteria, Enterobacterales, Enterobacteriaceae. The record is from Rfam.
CUUUUUAUUAAAAAAUUAUCCUGAUAAUAACAAUAAAUCUGGUAAGGCACUUUCAAAAAAUAGCCAAAUCACACAUUAUUAAGAAAACCACUACAAUCAAAAUCGGUAACUAUCAGCUUUCAGGGGGGUCUCAGGUUAUCAUGACGAUCGGGGUAAAGGAUGAACUACUAUUGCGGUCUGAAUUGAGGGAGUUUUGAUAAAUUUUUUUGAUAAAGUUUUGAUAACCGUUCGAAUACUAAUAAUAAAAACGGGGACGUUAAGUCCCCGUUUUAGUUUUUA